This 1903-nucleotide long non-coding RNA is filed under the name Fragaria vesca (wild strawberry). RNAcentral's name for it is "long non-coding RNA (FVES_LNC000307)". Lineage: Eukaryota; Viridiplantae; Streptophyta; Magnoliopsida; Rosales; Rosaceae. The record is from RNAcentral.
GUUACAAGUGGUAUGAAUAAUACAAGUAGGGCCACUAAUAGACCAUUUAUAACAAAUCUCAGACCGAGAGGCCUGAAAAAUGAUUUCCUAAAAGAGCUCCUAAAUCUCCGGUACACCACGAGACAAGAAAAUGAUCAUUAAUACCAGAAGACUCGUCCGACAAAUUGCCAACAAAGUUGGUAAGAAAGCGUCAGCAUCCCAACGGGUAGCGGCUCUAACCCCAUGAAGGACAAAUGCUCGAGUCAACUCCGCCUCCUGAUUAGUGAAUACACGUGAUAAUUGCGGGUGUAAACCGUCAUCACUAUAUCAGCGGUGUAUUGUAAUCAGCCCAAGCACGACCACAAAGGAUCAAAAUUAUUCAAACACAGAAAAACUUAACAAGCAGACACAAUAAGCAAAUAAACUAGAGAGAUACAGAAAACCUCAUGGGUCAACGAGACCAGACCCAAAGCUGGAAAGGCCCAAAAGCCCCAUCCGAGGCCCAGUCCAAGCUAGCCUUGGCCCAGACCCAAGAGCACCCCAACUUCUGCUACCAUCAGCGACCCCCAAAGCCGACCCUCAACGCCUCUGCCCUACUAUCGUCAGUUGAUAAUCUAGGCCAACACCCACCGGCCUACCUCGUCGCUACCGUCGAAGCAUCCUUUUUUAGAUCGGCAACCCACCUCACCUUGCUUCAACCAACCCCUAGGACAUUUCACCAAAGACAUCAGAUCACCAUAGAUCCUCACCACAAUCAGCUACAUGCCCAGACUAGCCCGAUCUGAACAAGAGAACUGUAAUAUCCCGGAAUUUUGGUUUUCUAUUUUUAAAAAGAAAAUUAUUUUGGGCCAAUUACAUAGAAGUCCACUUUCACACAUUUUCUUCCACAUAAAUCCACCCAAACAUUUUUACUCAUAUAAGUCCACCUAAGCCUAAAUAAGGUUUUAUAUUAGGUAUAGAGGUUGAACAAAAUUACAGACUGUCAUCUAAAAAAAAAAAUUAGAUUCUCCCCUUUAUAUUUACAAGAAUGCCACUAGUAUAUAAAGUCAACAACCACUCUCAUAUCAGAAAAGUCUCCAGCCGACGUCCGGCGAGGUUUCCGACAGACCUCCGACGAGGUUUCCGACGAUGACAAAAAUUACUACUACCAGUUACAAAAGCUACUACCACCAGCUAUAAAAGCUACUACCACCGCCUACAAAAGCUACUACCACCAGCCACAAAAGCUACUACCACCGCCUACAAAAGCUACUACUGUGAGGUUUCCGACGAACACAACAACUACUACCACCAACCACAAAAUCUACUACCACCAGCUACAAAAGCUACUACCACCGCCUACAAAAGCUACUACUGUGAGGUUUUCGACGAACACAAAAGCUACUACCACCAGCCACAAAAGCUACUACCACUGUCGACAAAAGCUACUACUGUGAGGUUUCUGACGAACACAAAAACUACUACCACUAGCCACAAAAACUACUACCACCAACUACAAAAGCUACUACCACCGCCUACCGUCAACGUGUGAAAAAAAUACUAUCACAGUGUGAAAAAUAUACUAUCACCGUGUCGAAAAUAUACUAUUACUAUGUUGAAAAUGUAUUAUUCUACAAUGAUGCUGAUACAUAGUUACAGAUCUCAAUUUCAUUCGUCUCAUACACUAUCAGAACACGAUUUCGUGAUUUCUCUUCCAGUAAAUUUCUAUUGAAUUACAAAUUCCAAACGAAGAGCGACAUUAAUACAGAACAACAGCCUAAUCUUUGUUUACAAAUUCUCAAAACAAACAAACAACUCCAACCAAAUUACAAUCGCAUCUUACCAGAAAUGUCACCUCCAAAGGAAGAUCUGGAUCUUCAAGCCGCCUUUAGAUCUGGUACUUCUUGNNNNNNNNNNNNNNNNNNNNGAGAGAGAGAGAGAUUUC